UACGGAGGGUGCAAGCGUUACCCGGAAUCACUGGGCGUAAAGGGCCUGUAGGCGGAUCAUCAAGUCUGGCUUUAAAGCCUGGGGCUCAACCCCAGAUCUGGAUUGGAGACUGGUAAUCUGGAUUCGUGGAGAGGCAACUGGAAUUCCUGGUGUAGCGGUGGAAUGCGUAGAUACCAGGAGGAACACCCAUGGCGAAGGCAGGUUGCUGGACACUGAAUGACUCUGAGGCGCGAAAGUGUGGGGAGCGAACGGG
This 253-nucleotide ribosomal RNA is filed under the name uncultured bacterium. RNAcentral's name for it is "partial 16S ribosomal RNA". It matches the Rfam family "Bacterial small subunit ribosomal RNA", at positions 524 to 776 of the family's 1533-position model. The record is from RNAcentral.